AUUGAACGCUGGCGGAAUGCUUUACACAUGCAAGUCGAACGGCAGCACGGACUUCGGUCUGGUGGCGAGUGGCGAACGGGUGAGUAAUGUAUCAGAACGUGCCCAGUCGUGGGGGAUAACGUAGUGAAAAUUACGCUAAUACCGCAUACGAUCUAUGGAUGAAAGCGGGGGAUCGCAAGACCUCGCGCGAUUGGAGCGGCCGAUAUCAGAUUAGGUAGUUGGUGGGGUAAAGGCCCACCAAGCCAACGAUCUGCAGCUGGUCUGAGAGGACGACCAGCCACACUGGAACUGAGACACGGUCCAGACUCCUACGGGAGGCAGCAGUGGGGAAUUUUGGACAAUGGGCGAAAGCCUGAUCCAGCCAUUCCGCGUGCAGGAUGAAGGCCCUCGGGAUGUAAACUGCUUUUGUACAGAACGAAAAGGUUUCUACUAAUACUAGGAGCUCAUGGCGGUACUGUAAGAAUAAGCACCGGCUAACUACGUGCCAGCCGCCGCCGUAA
Molecule: ribosomal RNA, 500 nt
Filed under: uncultured bacterium
Lineage: Bacteria
Description: partial 16S ribosomal RNA
Rfam family: Bacterial small subunit ribosomal RNA
Source: RNAcentral